RNAcentral lists this long non-coding RNA (334 nucleotides) under Salmo salar (Atlantic salmon). RNAcentral describes it as "lncRNA (ENSSSAG00000090924.1)". The record is from RNAcentral. Lineage: Eukaryota; Metazoa; Chordata; Actinopteri; Salmoniformes; Salmonidae.
AAUAUCUCUUCAAUUAUGUUAGGGUUGAACUGGCUAUUUGUAUGCAUAACUUAUAUAAUAUACUGGGGAAGCUAUGCUAAGUACAUAAACUACGGGUAAAGCAACAGUUGAAGACAAGAAGAACUACAACCGGCAACAGGAAGUGCGUCACGACGCUGGGACCUGCCUGCACGCCGACGUUAGGAGGAGCAAGUUUAAACCACGCUCAUCCUCCCUCUGACAGGCCAGCAUUGAGCGGGAACUAUCUCUGUCAGUAUAAAAGAGAGAACAAUAGGAUGUGUCGCUCUCUUCUCUGUUUGCCCUGCGAGGAGCAGAUUAUCCCGAGACUCCCGAC